GUUAGGAAUAUUGGACAAUGGGCGCAAGCCUGAUCCAGCCAUGCCGCGUGAACGAUGAAGGCCUUCGGGUUGUAAAGUUCUUUAGCCGAUGAUUAUAAUGACUGUAGUCGGAAAAUAAGACCCGGCUAACUUCGUGCCAGCAGCCGCGGUAAUACGAAGGGGGCGAGCGUUAUUCGGAAUCACUGGGCGUAAAGCGUGCGUAGGCGGUCUCGUAAGUUAGGAGUGAAAGCCCAGGGCUCAACCUUGGAAUUGCUCUUAAAACUGCAAGUCUAGAAUCUCGGAGAGGAUAGCGGAAUUUCCAGUGUAGCAGUGAAAUGCGUAGAUAUUGGAAGGAACACCAGUGGCGUAAGCGGCUAUCUGGACGAGUAUUGACGCUGAGGCACGAACGCGUGGGGAUCAAACAGGAUUAGAAACCCCUGUAGUCC
This 425-nucleotide ribosomal RNA is filed under the name uncultured bacterium. Its description in RNAcentral is "partial 16S ribosomal RNA". It matches the Rfam family "Bacterial small subunit ribosomal RNA", at positions 354 to 796 of the family's 1533-position model. The record is from RNAcentral.